GGGAGAACUGCUGUACAUAUCUGCCAGCCUGGAGAAAUGAGAGCAAUAUACCUGCUUCUUGUUUGUUGGAAACCCAAAUGUAAUUGACCUGCUGGACACAUUACACUUUUUGGCAUCUUUUGGCCACUAUUUCCUAAUUGUAAGAUGUGAAGAUACGCUCUGGAUCAAAGAGGCUCUCAUGUUCGCUUAAUAAUUCAGAGUCCAUCACUCAGUGGCUGGACUCUGCCAUGCACAUCACAGAGCAUCUGAGAGGCAAGGUAUCCACCAGCGUGGGACAACUCUAUGCUUGCAUUCUGAUCAUGCCUCACUCCUCACACUUCAGCUUGUGUGAUGCCACCAGUUUGAGCCCUCUGAAAAUCCCAUCUGACCACUGCUAACCUCCUCUACCACCACCAGGCACCUACAACAGAAGACAAUCCAUAAAUGACCAUGUGAUGGGUGCUCCAUCAAUGAUGAAAGGAAUGAAUGAGUACCUUUUAUGGCAUGGUGGGAGGUGGAGGUGGCGGGAGCACUUGAAGGUGGAGGAGAUUGGUACAUGCCUGCCCCUUGUGACUGAAUCUGGAACAGGUGCACGUUUCUGCCUGCUUCGUGAAGCAAACUGCCAAAGUCGAACCAAGGCCAGUCA
Molecule: long non-coding RNA, 625 nt
Filed under: Homo sapiens (human)
Lineage: Eukaryota; Metazoa; Chordata; Mammalia; Primates; Hominidae
Description: non-protein coding lnc-COX10-1:1
Source: RNAcentral